UCACAUCUUAUCGAGAGAGAUCAGGAAUCAGAGUGAUCAGCUGUCUCGCAUUUAUUAUCAUUAUAGUUGUUGUUGAUGAAUUUCAUGAUUGCUGGAGUUUGAACGUGGAGAAAGAAGCGACUGCGGAGACUGAAGCGAAAAAGGAGGAAGAUGAGGCAAAGGUCUAAAUAAACAACAAGGGAGUCAAAAUAAGCACUUCACCUCCUUGCCAGAAACAAACAACAGAGUGGCCAGGACUUUCAAGCUGUAUGAAAUAUUGUUGAAGUCUGAGAUUGCUGUAUUGACAUUGACUAUGAAUAAUGGACAGUGACUUUUGCAUAGUGGUUGUACAAAUGUGGUUUUAUAUGUAGUAUUGAAAAAUGAUCAACCUGGAUUGGUGGCAUCAUGAUCAGAUACCAGUGCUAUCACCUGAUUCACCAAUAUUAUCUCAAAAGGCUGCGCCAUAGCUUAAGCGGGUAGUCGCUGGCUUCCCACCGCUGCGGUUCAG
Long non-coding RNA from Cryptotermes secundus, 487 nucleotides. RefSeq lists it as uncharacterized. NCBI's taxonomy places the organism in Eukaryota, Metazoa, Arthropoda, Insecta, Blattodea, Kalotermitidae. The transcript has 3 exons. The record is from RefSeq and is a predicted model, not a curated record.